Long non-coding RNA from Gasterosteus aculeatus aculeatus (three-spined stickleback), 888 nucleotides. Lineage: Eukaryota; Metazoa; Chordata; Actinopteri; Perciformes; Gasterosteidae. The record is from Ensembl.
UCUUGAAACACCACUGCUCCGAGGUUCAGGUUCAUUUUGAGUGCUGACGAGUGGUGGUAACCCUGGCAACAGCUGCCGAUGUGCUGCCGUCUCUUCUCCCCUGCCCACUGACACCCGUCGCACCGUCUACCUCGAUGCAUUUUAUUCAAGUCGUAAAGUGUAGAAAUCUCCGCUGGAGUUGAGAAGACCAUGGGGGUCGCGGGGGGAGCUGGAAUCCAUCCCAGCCAAGAUCGGGCGAGAGACGGGGCCGUCAAUUGCAGGGCUGACACAUAUCCACACAUAUAUGCAUAUCUAUACACAUGUACAUAUGUAUAUAUACAUGCACAGGAAUAACUGAACUCUACGAGCCUGACUAUGAUUUCAGCACAUAGGUAUCAAUAAUUACAUGUAAGAGAUGUUAUGCUAAGGACAAUAUGUUUGAAUACAUUUUUAAAAAAGCUUUACAUAUGUGCUGUACAUUUGAGAAGGAAUAUUACAGGACCAAAUUCUGGAAGGAGGAAGACUCCUUGACAGAUAGGUGAAGGUUUUGGGUUUUGAAGUUAGAGCAGGGCAGCCAUCAGGGAAAGACUACAUGUAUAAUCCUAAUGAAAACCAAUCCCCUCCUCCCAGCAAAAGAGCAACGGGAAUUUCCUGAAACUGCCGUUAAUUCUGAUAUUCACUCCUCGUCCUAGGUGUCUUUUUUGUCAAAUUUCUAAGGAAAGCUUUUGGUUUGUGAUUUCCCCAUUCACAAAUAUGCAAGUUUAAGUACAAGCCAUGUCAUGUCUUAUUUCUGAUUAAUAAAUAGAUUAAUCAAUAAUAUAUGAGAGUUUGUGUCUUUUUCAGUAAUAACGAUUCAAACUUCAGGACCCAAUGUGCACGUGCUGGUUUAAGAACUGAUUUAAAUUGAUC